RNAcentral lists this ribosomal RNA (814 nucleotides) under uncultured archaeon. Its description in RNAcentral is "bacterial SSU rRNA". It matches the Rfam family "Archaeal small subunit ribosomal RNA", at positions 52 to 872 of the family's 1478-position model. The record is from RNAcentral.
UGCGAGUCAUUGUAGUAAUACAAGGCAGACGGCUCAGUAACGNGUAGUCAACNUACCCUAUGGACGGGGAUAACCUCGGGAAACUGAGAAUAAUACCCGAUAGAACAUUAUGCCUGGAAUGGUUUAUGUUUCAAAUAAUUUAUUGCCGUAGGAUGGGACUGCGGCCUAUCAGUUUGUUGGUGAGGUAAUGGCCCACCAAGACUAUUACAGGUACGGGCUCUGAGAGGAGUAGCCCGGAGAUGGGUACUGAGACACGGACCCAGGCCCUAUGGGGCGCAGCAGGCGAGAAAACUUUGCAAUGUGCGAAAGCACGACAAGGUUAAUCCGAGUGGUUUCUGCUAAAGGAACCUUUUGUCAGUCCUAGAAACACUGGUGAAUAAGGGGUGGGCAAGUUCUGGUGUCAGCCGCCGCGGUAAAACCAGCACCUCAAGUGGUCAGGAUGAUUAUUGGGCCUAAAGCAUCCGUAGCCUGCUUUGUAAGUUUUCGGUUAAAUCCAUACGCUCAACGUAUGGGCUGCCGGGAAUACUGCAAAGCUAGGGAGUGGGAGAGGUAGACGGUACUCGGUAGGAAGGGGUAAAAUCCUUUGAUCUAUUGAUGACCACCUGUGGCGAAGGCGGUCUACCAGAACACGUCCGACGGUGAGGGAUGAAAGCUGGGGGAGCAAACCGGAUUAGAUACCCGGGUAGUCCCAGCUGUAAACUAUGCAAACUCAGUGAUGCAUUGGCUUGAAGCCAAUGCAGUGCUGCAGGGAAGCCGUUAAGUUUGGCGCCUGGGAAGUACGUACGCAAGUAUGAAACUUAAAGGAAUUGGCGGG